UGGGGAAUAUUGCACAAUGGGCGCAAGCCUGAUGCAGCCAUGCCGCGUGUAGGAAGAAGGCAUUCGGGUUGGAAAGUACUUUCAGCGGGGAGGAAGGGAGUAAAGUUAAUACCUUUGCUCAUUGACGUUACCCGCAGAAGAAGCACCGGAUAACUCCGUGCAAGCAGCCGCGGUAAUACGGAGGGUGCAAGCGUUAAUCGGAAUUACUGGGCGUAAAGCGCACGCAGGCGGUUUGUUAAGUCAGAUGUGAAAUCCCCGGGCUCAACCUGGGAACUGCAUCUGAUACUGGCAAGCUUGAGUCUCGUAGAGGGGGGUAGAAUUCCAGGUGUAGCGGUGAAAUGCGUAGAGAUCGGGAGGAAUACCGGUGGCGAAGGCGGCCCCCUGGACGAAGACUGACGCUCAGGUGCGAAAGCGUGGGGAGCAAACAGG
Molecule: ribosomal RNA, 429 nt
Filed under: Chloroflexota bacterium
Lineage: Bacteria; Bacillati; Chloroflexota
Description: Chloroflexi bacterium partial 16S ribosomal RNA
Rfam family: Bacterial small subunit ribosomal RNA
Source: RNAcentral